AUUGAACGCUGGCGGCGUGCUUAACACAUGCAAGUCGAGCGGUAACGCGGGGCAACCCUGGCGACGAGCGGCGAACGGGUGCGUAAUGCAUGGGAAUCUGCCUGAUAGUGGGGAAUAACCCGGGGAAACUCGGGCUAAUGCCGCAUACGACCUACGGGUGAAAGCGGGGGACCGUAAGGCCUCGCGCUAUCGGAUGAGCCCAUGUCGGAUUAGCUAGUUGGUAGGGUAACGGCCUACCAAGGCUACGAUCCGUAGCUGGUCUGAGAGGACGGCCAGCCACACUGGGACUGAGACACGGCCCAGACUCCUACGGGAGGCAGCAGUGGGGAAUAUUGGACAAUGGGGGAAACCCUGAUCCAGCGACGCCGCGUGUGUGAAGAAGGCCUGCGGGUUGUAAAGCACUUUCGGUGGGAACGAAAUAUGCCGGGCCAAUACCCCCGGCAGGCUGACGUUACCCAAUGAAGAAGCACCGGCUAACUCUGUGCCAGCAGCCGCGGUAAU
RNAcentral lists this ribosomal RNA (501 nucleotides) under uncultured bacterium. RNAcentral describes it as "bacterial SSU rRNA". It matches the Rfam family "Bacterial small subunit ribosomal RNA", at positions 29 to 524 of the family's 1533-position model. The record is from RNAcentral.